Molecule: ribosomal RNA, 440 nt
Filed under: uncultured Clostridium sp.
Lineage: Bacteria; Bacillati; Bacillota; Clostridia; Eubacteriales; Clostridiaceae
Description: bacterial SSU rRNA
Rfam family: Bacterial small subunit ribosomal RNA
Source: RNAcentral
CCUACGGGAGGCUGCAGUGGGGAAUAUUGCACAAUGGGCGAAAGCCUGAUGCAGCAACGCCGCGUGAGUGAUGAAGGCCUUCGGGUUGUAAAGCUCUGUCUUUGGGGACGAUAAUGACGGUACCCAAGGAGGAAGCCACGGCUAACUACGUGCCAGCAGCCGCGGUAAUACGUAGGUGGCAAGCGUUGUCCGGAUUUACUGGGCGUAAAGGAUGCGUAGGCGGAUAUUUAAGUGAGAUGUGAAAUUCCCGGGCUUAACUUGGGAGCUGCAUUUCAAACUGGAUAUCUAGAGUGCGGGAGAGGAGAAUGGAAUUCCUAGUGUAGCGGUGAAAUGCGUAGAGAUUAGGAAGAACACCAGUGGCGAAGGCGAUUCUCUGGACCGUAACUGACGCUGAGGCAUGAAAGCGUGGGUAGCAAACAGGAUUAGAUACCCUGGUAGUC